RNAcentral lists this ribosomal RNA (253 nucleotides) under uncultured bacterium. Its description in RNAcentral is "partial 16S ribosomal RNA". It matches the Rfam family "Bacterial small subunit ribosomal RNA", at positions 524 to 776 of the family's 1533-position model. The record is from RNAcentral.
UACAGAGGUCUCAAGCGUUGUUCGGAUUCAUUGGGCGUAAAGGGUGCGUAGGUGGUGAUGCAAGUCUGGUGUGAAAUCUCGGAGCUCAACUCCGAAAUUGCACCGGAUACUGCGUGACUCGAGGACUGUAGAGGAGAUCGGAAUUCACGGUGUAGCAGUGAAAUGCGUAGAGAUCAUGAGGAAGACCAGUGGCGAAGGCGGGUCUCUGGACAGUUCCUGACACUGAGGCACGAAGGCCAGGGGAGCAAACGGG